GAAGAUAAUUUGGGAGUCCUCCUGGUAUGUUUUCUAAAAUAACCAGAUUUUUUUAUAUAAGUUGUUUUAUAGUGUUUUGAUGAAUAGAAACUAGGAAGAGCUUUAUUUGCUUGUGUAUAUCAUGUGAACCAUGCAAAGUAACAUCAAAUUCGGGUUCAAAAACAUUGAUGUUAUAUUAAGCAUCAUCCUUGUACAAUUGAAUCAACAGAUGUGAACCCUUUCAUUUAGGGACUUGACAAAACAAAUUUUAUAGGCUUAUAUAUUCUAACUAUGUUGUUUUUGUGUAGCAGAUACAUUUUUUUGACUUUUACGG
Molecule: unclassified non-coding RNA, 313 nt
Filed under: Hevea brasiliensis (rubber tree)
Lineage: Eukaryota; Viridiplantae; Streptophyta; Magnoliopsida; Malpighiales; Euphorbiaceae
Source: RNAcentral